This 253-nucleotide ribosomal RNA is filed under the name uncultured bacterium. RNAcentral describes it as "partial 16S ribosomal RNA". It matches the Rfam family "Bacterial small subunit ribosomal RNA", at positions 524 to 776 of the family's 1533-position model. The record is from RNAcentral.
UACGGAGGGUGCAAGCGUUGUCCGGAAUCACUGGGCGUAAAGGGCGCGUAGGCGGCUCAUGAAGGCUGUGGUGAAAGUCCGGGGCUCAACCUCGGAUCGGCCGUGGCGACUCGUGGGCUGGAGCACUGUAGAGGCGGGUGGAAUUCCGGGUGUAGCGGUGGAAUGCGUAGAGAUCCGGAAGAACACCCGUGGCGAAGGCGGCUCUCUGGGACGGUACUGACGCUGAGACGCGAAAGCGUGGGGAGCGAACAGG